RNAcentral lists this transfer RNA (77 nucleotides) under Escherichia coli. Its description in RNAcentral is "tRNA-Gly(gcc)". It matches the Rfam family "tRNA". From Rfam's summary of the family: Transfer RNA (tRNA) molecules are approximately 80 nucleotides in length. Their secondary structure includes four short double-helical elements and three loops (D, anti-codon, and T loops). Further hydrogen bonds mediate the characteristic L-shaped molecular structure. tRNAs have two regions of fundamental functional importance: the anti-codon, which is responsible for specific mRNA codon recognition, and the 3' end, to which the tRNAs corresponding amino acid is attached (by aminoacyl-tRNA synthetases). tRNAs cope with the degeneracy of the genetic code in two manners: having more than one tRNA (with a specific anti-codon) for a particular amino acid; and 'wobble' base-pairing, i.e. permitting non-standard base-pairing at the 3rd anti-codon position. The record is from RNAcentral. Lineage: Bacteria; Pseudomonadati; Pseudomonadota; Gammaproteobacteria; Enterobacterales; Enterobacteriaceae.
GCGGGAAUAGCUUCAGUUGGUAGAGCACGACCUUGCCAAGGUCGGGGUCGCGAGUUCGAGUCUCGUUUCCCGCUCCA